This is a non-coding RNA of Schizosaccharomyces pombe (fission yeast), 579 nucleotides long. NCBI's taxonomy places the organism in Eukaryota, Fungi, Ascomycota, Schizosaccharomycetes, Schizosaccharomycetales, Schizosaccharomycetaceae. The record is from the annotation of a GenBank genome assembly.
CACCCAUAUUUAAACGGGAUUGGUAUACGGACAAUCCGUCAAUAACAGAGUCGGGACGAGCGAAAUAGACAUACUCAAAUAUAUCGGGAGUAAAUCUUAGGCAGGGAAGGAUUUGACGAGAAAACAAGCGAGGGCCUCUAAACCCUGCAAGUAUAUCUUCCCUAUUGGAACGACGAAUAAAGACACACUCACCGGGGCGAAUAUCUCUGAAUGUACGGUAUCCAAAUUGAGUCAAUACAACACUCUCACUAGCAAGCAUGUAAUCCUUUCCUUCGGGGGUAUCACGUUCACCGAUCACUAAAGGACGAAUGCCAUUGGGAUCACGGAAUCCCAAAACACCCAAGCCUGCGAUCAUAGCAACACAUGCAUAACCACCAUUAACGCGAUCGUAUACAUUACGCAAAGCUUCGAAAAUAUCAUUUUCGUUUAUACGAAAUUUAUCCAACCGUUGAAGCUCGUAAGCAAAGAUGUUAAGCAAAAGCUCAGAAUCAGAUCCAGUGUUUACAUGACGAUGGGCCUCAGUGUCCAAAAAGCGUCGUAAUUCGGGUCCAUUAAUUAAAUUACCAUUAUGGCCCAACA